AGUCUUGUAUUCAAAAUGAUAUUAAAUUGCAAAUUUAAUGGUAAAGUUAACUUUUAAGGCUU
RNAcentral lists this transfer RNA (62 nucleotides) under Philopona vibex. Its description in RNAcentral is "tRNA-Cys". Lineage: Eukaryota; Metazoa; Arthropoda; Insecta; Coleoptera; Chrysomelidae. The record is from RNAcentral.